This is a non-coding RNA of Cyanistes caeruleus (blue tit), 937 nucleotides long. NCBI's taxonomy places the organism in Eukaryota, Metazoa, Chordata, Aves, Passeriformes, Paridae. The record is from RefSeq and is a predicted model, not a curated record.
AGUACCUGCGCUGAUCUUCUCUGAAGAUAAAGAAUGUGGCACUGCAUAAUCCAGUGAGUGGCACAGCCCAUUUCUGCCAAGAGACCUGGCAGCAUGGAGCCAUGGCAGCAUGGACAACAUAGGCAGAGAUGGAGCAACUUCUCAGUUCCCACUUCACCUGUGUGUCUAAAAUUCCAGCUUGUGUGAAAGGCUUCAGGGGAUCAGAAGAUGUCAUGUUGAGGAGAAAUUUGCUGUUUGGUCUCUGUGAAGCAAUAAGCACACUAAAACACUUUGAGUGCUUACUGGAAGAGGGAAAGAGGGGUGCAUCUGCCUAACAUGAAAAAACAAUCUUUGAGGUUUCAGUGAUGAGAAUGCUGGAAUAAUAACUUCAUGGAAGCAGUGAGAGUGGAGCCAGCACAGGUGUGUGUGACAGGGAAAGGGGGUGUGCCCUACAACUGUGACAUCUGUGCUGGAGCUGCCCUGAAAAUCUGCAAGGAAGCCUGAAAGCAGAGCCUAUUCCCUGCAAUGGAGGGGUUCAGUGUCCUUUUCCAAUGUCCAUCUAUACACAUCCAAAGGUAUUCCUAACACUUGUUUGAAGAGGAAGGAAGAAGGAAGCCUGGCAGCUUUCUGGGGUUACUAGGAAUGUGUAAUGGAAAGGCUGAGCAGUUGUGGAAGAUUUUGCCAGGCAGCAUUUCUUUCCUACUGAGAUAAAGAACGUGCAGCAAAGCUGAAUUGUGUCUCUACUCUCUUGUCUUCCUGCCCAGUGUGUGUGGCAGCAGCAGUGACAGUGUGGUUCUAAACUGUCCCUUUUGUGGCAGGGGUGACUGAAGCAGCAUCUCUCUGCCACUCUUUCCCCAUAUAUAGCUUCUUGCACUACUUCCUAUUUUAUCUACCCACUGUUUCAUCCAGUUUCAUCCAGAAAUGGCUUUUUGGUGAAAUAAAGGAAUCAAAAACAUUA